This 425-nucleotide ribosomal RNA is filed under the name uncultured bacterium. Its description in RNAcentral is "partial 16S ribosomal RNA". It matches the Rfam family "Bacterial small subunit ribosomal RNA", at positions 28 to 526 of the family's 1533-position model. The record is from RNAcentral.
GACGAACGCUGGCGGCGUGCUUAACACAUGCAAGUCGAGCGGAGCGGCGAACGGGUGAGUAACGCGUGAGUAACUGCCCCCCUCUCUGGGAUAACAGUUGGCAACGGCUGCUAAUACCGGAUAGUGGGGGAUGACUCGCGUCCUAUCAGCUUGUUGGUGGGGUAGUGGCCUACCAGGGCGACGACGGGUAGCCGGCCUAGAGGGCGACCGGCCACAUUGGGCUGAGAUACGGCCCAAACUCCUACGGGAGGCAGCAGUGGGGAAUAUUGCACAAUGGGGGAAACCCUGAUGCAGCAACGCGCGUGCGGGAUGACGGCCUUCGGGUUGUAAAGUACUUUUGUUAGGGAAGUGCUAAUACCACUGUUUGCUGACGGUACCUAAAGAAUAAGCACCGGCUAACUACGUGCCAGCAGCCGCGGUAAUAC